UACGAGUGCCCCAAGCGUUAUCCGGAAUCAUUGGGCGUAAAGGGUGUGUAGGUGGUUUGGUUAGUCUCCUGUUAAAUUUCCCGGCUCAACCGGGAGCUUGCGGGGGAAACGGCCAAGCUAGAGGGUGCGAGGGGUGAAUGGAACUCAUGGAGUAGGGGUGAAAUCCGUUGAUAUCAUGGGGAACACCAAAAGCGAAGGCAAUUCACUGGCGCAUUCCUGACACUGAGACACGAAAGCGUGGGUAGCGAACGGG
RNAcentral lists this unclassified non-coding RNA (253 nucleotides) under Candidatus Azambacteria bacterium. Its description in RNAcentral is "contains 16S-23S intergenic spacer region". It matches the Rfam family "Bacterial small subunit ribosomal RNA", at positions 524 to 776 of the family's 1533-position model. The record is from RNAcentral. Lineage: Bacteria; Candidatus Azamiibacteriota.